UACGGAGGGUGCAAACGUUGCUCGGAAUCAUUGGGCGUAAAGCGCACGUAGGCGGUCCCGCAAGUCGGAUGUGAAAGCCCUCGGCUUAACCGAGGAAGGGCAUUCGAAACUGCGAGACUUGAAUAUGGAAGAGGGUCGCGGAAUUCCCGGUGUAGAGGUGAAAUUCGUAGAUAUCAGGAGGAACACCGGUGGCGAAGGCGGGUCUCUGGGCCGUAACUGACGCUGAGGAGCGAAAGCGUGGGGAGCGAACAGG
This 253-nucleotide ribosomal RNA is filed under the name uncultured bacterium. RNAcentral's name for it is "partial 16S ribosomal RNA". It matches the Rfam family "Bacterial small subunit ribosomal RNA", at positions 524 to 776 of the family's 1533-position model. The record is from RNAcentral.